AGCUCCAAGAGCAUAUAUUAAAGUUGUUGCAGUUAAAAAGCUCGUAGUUGGAUUUCUGGUACAACGCACCUGGCCCGCAGCCAUUAGGCUUGUGUGCGCCGGCGCGCGUUUGCCAUCCUUCUAGAAAACGGGUCUGCCAUUAACUUGGUGGGUUCGCGAUCUAGAUCAUUUACUUUGAAAAAAUUAGAGUGUUUAAAGCAAGCAAUUGCUAUGAAUACAUUAGCAUGGAAUAAUAAUCUAGGACUUCGGUUCUAUUUUGUUGGUUUCUAAAACUGAAGUAAUGAUUGAUAGGGACAGUUGGGGGUGCUAGUAUUGGCCGGCCAGAGGUGAAAUUCUUGGAUUCGGUCAAGACUAACUUAUGCGAAAGCAUUCACCAAGGAUGUCUUCU
This 388-nucleotide ribosomal RNA is filed under the name uncultured eukaryote. RNAcentral describes it as "SSU rRNA". It matches the Rfam family "Eukaryotic small subunit ribosomal RNA", at positions 587 to 972 of the family's 1831-position model. The record is from RNAcentral.